AGAGUGAACGCUGGCGGCAGGCCUAAUACAUGCAAGUCGAACGGCAGCACAGCAGAGCUUGCUCUGUGGGUGGCGAGUGGCGGACGGGUGAGGAAUACAUGGGAAUCUGCCCAGUCGUGGGGGAUAACGUAUGGAAACGUACGCUAAUACCGCAUGCCGCCCGUUCGGGGGAAAGCCGGGGACCUUCGGGCCUGGCGCGAUUGGAUGAGCCCAUGUCGGAUUAGCUAGGUUGGACGGGGUAAAGCCUACCGAAGGCGAACGAUCCGUAGCUGGUCUGAGAGGAU
This 284-nucleotide ribosomal RNA is filed under the name uncultured soil bacterium. Its description in RNAcentral is "partial 16S ribosomal RNA". It matches the Rfam family "Bacterial small subunit ribosomal RNA", at positions 26 to 301 of the family's 1533-position model. The record is from RNAcentral.